RNAcentral lists this long non-coding RNA (667 nucleotides) under Canis lupus familiaris (dog). RNAcentral's name for it is "lncRNA (ENSCAFG00000035183.3)". Lineage: Eukaryota; Metazoa; Chordata; Mammalia; Carnivora; Canidae. The record is from RNAcentral.
AUUUAGUGAGGCAUGGGUAUGAAUUAGUAUUAUCCUCCAAUGUGACAUAAGGUGCAAAGACCCCAGAAAUAAUAGUAAUAGUGGCAAAAAGAGGCUGGGAGCCAGAUUACAGAGACUGAACAAGCAGAGAGAUAAGGAAACAGGAAGGAAGCAAAGCUAAGAAGGAAAAAGUAGUGCUUAGGUCCAGCCAUAUGAACUCUGGUUCUCUGGCAGGACUUCUGUUAAAGAAGAGUAACUUUUAGGAAAAAAGCAAAACCCUAGUCCUGAAGAUGGUGAAGCCACGCAAGGGAUUCAGUCAGUAGCACAAAGAACAGUGGAGAGCCAACUUCAUCUACACUUGGCUUAUUCUGCACCCAUAAAAAUCAAUGAAUGGCCUGAUGAACCAAAUGAAAACAACGAAGCAUAUGAAGAUGAUGGAUAUCCAUCAAAAUACUCAGGUGCAAUGAAAAAUGAAACCGUGAUCAAAGAGAUAAGAACCCAGAGAGAUCAUGAUAUAGCAUAUGCUAUACCAAAAAGAUACAUCAAAUGGAAUCUAGGGAAUAUGGAUUUAUAAAGUUCAAUCCAAAAGUGCCCUGUAAUCCAUUCUCAUAUAUCACUACACUAUGUGAAACAAUAAAUGCAUUAUUUAAUCAGAAAAGUAUGGCUUCUAUUUUUUUUUUCAACCAAA